Molecule: ribosomal RNA, 415 nt
Filed under: uncultured bacterium
Lineage: Bacteria
Description: bacterial SSU rRNA
Rfam family: Bacterial small subunit ribosomal RNA
Source: RNAcentral
GGAAUAUUGCACAAUGGGGGAAACCCUGAUGCAGCGACGCCGCGUGAGUGAAGAAGUAUUUCGGUACGUAAAGCUCUAUCAGCAGGGAAGAAAAAAAGUCCUUUGGACUUUGGACGGUACCUGACCAAGAAGCCCCGGCUAACUACGUGCCAGCAGCCGCGGUAAUACGUAGGGGGCAAGCGUUAUCCGGAUUUACUGGGUGUAAAGGGAGCGUAGACGGUAAUGUAAGUCUGAUGUGAAAGCCCGGGGCUCAACCCCGGGACUGCGUUGGAAACUAUGUAACUAGAGUACCGGAGAGGUAAGCGGAAUUCCUAGUGUAGCGGUGAAAUGCGUAGAUAUUAGGAGGAACACCAGUGGCGAAGGCGGCUUACUGGACGGAAACUGACGUUGAGGCUCGAAAGCGUGGGGAGCAAAC